Unclassified non-coding RNA from Ictidomys tridecemlineatus (thirteen-lined ground squirrel), 91 nucleotides. NCBI's taxonomy places the organism in Eukaryota, Metazoa, Chordata, Mammalia, Rodentia, Sciuridae. The record is from Ensembl.
CACCCAGAGGCAGCUGUCAACAUCUGGGCCUGCAAUGGAGGCCAGACAUCGGGGUGGGAGCUUGGCCUAUGAUGACUCAGCUCUCUCAGGA